This 449-nucleotide ribosomal RNA is filed under the name uncultured bacterium. RNAcentral's name for it is "bacterial SSU rRNA". It matches the Rfam family "Bacterial small subunit ribosomal RNA", at positions 355 to 796 of the family's 1533-position model. The record is from RNAcentral.
UCGAGGAUCUUCUGCAAUGGGCGCAAGCCUGACAGAGCGACGCCGCGUGGGGGAGGAAGGCCUUCGGGUUGUAAACCCCUGUUGCCGGUUAAGAAUGCUAGGGUGCGAAUAGCGCUACUAGUUGACAAAGGCCGGUGAGGAAGCCACGGCUAACUACGUGCCAGCAGCCGCGGUAAGACGUAGGUGGCAAGCGUUGUUCGGAAUCACUGGGCAUAAAGCGCGCGUAGGCGGCUAAGCAAGUCGGGUGUGAAAUCCCUCGGCUCAACCGAGGAACUGCGCCCGAAACUGCUUGGCUUGAGGGCCGGAGGGGAGAGUGGAAUUCCCGGUGGAGCGGUGAAAUGCGUAGAGAUCGGGAAGAACGCCGGCGGCGAAAGCGACUCUCUGGUCGGUACCUGACGCUGAGGCGCGAAAGCUAGGGGAGCAAACGGGAUUAGAUACCCCCGUAGUCC